RNAcentral lists this ribosomal RNA (492 nucleotides) under uncultured bacterium. Its description in RNAcentral is "partial 16S ribosomal RNA". It matches the Rfam family "Bacterial small subunit ribosomal RNA", at positions 29 to 507 of the family's 1533-position model. The record is from RNAcentral.
AGUGAACGCUGGCGGUAGGCCUAACACAUGCAAGUCGAACGGCAGCACAGUAAGAGCUUGCUCUUACGGGUGGCGAGUGGCGGACGGGUGAGGAAUACAUCGGAAUCUACUUUUUCGGGGGGGAUAACGUAGGGAAACUUACGCUAAUACAGCAUACGACCUACGGGUGAAAGCAGGGGAUCUUCGGACCUUGCGCGAUUGAAUGAGCCGAUGUCGGAUGAGCUAGUUGGCGGGGUAAAGGCCCACCAAGGCGACGAUCCGUAGCUGGUCUGAGAGGAUGAUCAGCCACACUGGAACUGAGACACGGUCCAGACUCCUACGGGAGGCAGCAGUGGGGAAUAUUGGACAAUGGGCGAAAGCCUGAUCCAGCCAUACCGCGUGGGUGAAGAAGGCCUUCGGGUUGUAAAGCCCUUUUGUUGGGAAAGAAAAGCAGCAGGUUAAUACCCCGCUGUUCUGACGGUACCCAAAGAAUAAGCACCGGCUAACUUCGUG